GACGAACGCUGGCGGCGUGCUUAACACAUGCAAGUCGAACGAAGAGCCAUUGAGGCUUUCUUCUAUCAAUCUUAGUGUCGCACGGGUGAGUAACGCGUAAUCAACCUUCCCUUCAGAGGGGGACAACAGUUGGAAACGACUGCUAAUACCGCAUACGAUCUAAUCUCGGCAUCGAGGAUAGAUGAAAGGUUGCCUCUACAUGUAAGCUAUCACUGGAGUUGGGGAGUGAGUCGGAUUAGCUAGUUGGAGGGGUAACGGCCCACCAAGGCGAUGAUAAGUAGGCGGUCCGGAAGGAAGAAUGGCCAAAAUGGGAACGAGAAACGGGCCAGAACUCUAAGGGGGGGAGCAGUGGGGAAACUUCCGAAAUGGACGGCAGUCUGACGGAGCAAAGCCGCGUGAGUGAUGACGGCCUUCGGGUUGGAAAGCUCUGUUAAUCGGGAAGAAAGGCCUUCUUGCGAAUAGUGAGAAGGAUUGACGGUACCGGAAUAGAAAGCAACGGCUAACUACGUG
This 510-nucleotide ribosomal RNA is filed under the name uncultured bacterium. RNAcentral describes it as "partial 16S ribosomal RNA". It matches the Rfam family "Bacterial small subunit ribosomal RNA", at positions 28 to 507 of the family's 1533-position model. The record is from RNAcentral.